ACUCAAAUGAAUUGACGGGGGCCCGCACAAGCGGUGGAGCAUGUGGUUUAAUUCGAUGCAACGCGAAGAACCUUACCUACUCUUGACAUCCUGCGAAUCUAGCUUAGCAGCUGGGGUGCCGAAAGGAACGCAGAGACAGGUGCUGCAUGGCUGUCGUCAGCUCGUGUUGUGAGAUGUUGGGUUAAGUCCCGUAACGAGCGCAACCCUUGUCCUUAGUUGCUAACGAGUUAAGUCGAGCACUCUAAGGAAACUGCCGGUGAUGAACCGGAGGAAGGCGGGGACGACGUCAAGUCAUCAUGGCCUUUAUGAGUAGGGCUACACACGUGCUACAAUGGGACGUACAGAGGGUAGCGAACCCGCGAGGGGAAGCCAAUCUCAAAAAGCGUCUCGUAGUCCGGAUUGGAGUCUGCAACUCGACUCCAUGAAGUUGGAAUCGCUAGUAAUCGCGAAUCAGCCAUGUCGCGGUGAAUACGUUCCCGGGCCUUGUACACACCGCCCGU
This 500-nucleotide ribosomal RNA is filed under the name uncultured bacterium. RNAcentral's name for it is "partial 16S ribosomal RNA". It matches the Rfam family "Bacterial small subunit ribosomal RNA", at positions 899 to 1397 of the family's 1533-position model. The record is from RNAcentral.